UUAAUAAUACGUAUAAAUAGAUUAUAUCGAUUCAUAUAGAUUUUAUUGAUUGUCUUGCUAAUUGACCAAUUAUUUAGAGAAUCUGGUUAGUUAAUAAGAGAAGAUCUAUGGCAUUAAUUCUGUCUCGAUGUGAAGUGAAUAGAGAAAUUGAAUAAGAUAGUGAUAUCCAAUACUUAACCCAAGUAAUACUGAAAUUACUUUGAGAUACUGAAAUUCGAAAAUUGAUAGUUUAUAAUUUAUAUUACAUCGUCAAAUCGCUAUAUAGAAGAGUUACACAAUUUAAAAAAAAAAACAGUAAAUUUACAAAAUUAUUUAAAUAGGAUUUAAUCCUUCAUCGUCGCAUAUUGGUGUAACUCUACAUCACAUUUCGUAUAUGAUAAUAUCAUAUAUUAUAUAUGUUGCAUUAUUGUGUUAUUAAAAUAUUGAUGUAGCAGAAAACUACAAAAUAUUAUCUUAACAAUAAUAACUGACGAAAUCAGCGUGAAAAUUAGUGAUUAUUCAAUUAUUUAACAACGAAAGUAUUUUUUAUAGUGAUCGUCAGUCUGCAAGGCAAUACUAUGUAUCGAAUAUAUCGAAUCGAUUGAUAUCGAAUAUCUCAAGCAUGAAUCGAUAAUUUCAAUUUUAUUUUGCAUGCCGUUAUAUGUAUGAAUGAAAGGAAUUAGUUUAUAUAAUUUUGGACAGUUACCUUUCGAUUAACUCUAAGAAUAAAAGAUUUCUUGACAAUCUUGAACAUUGGCAUAUACAAGCGUAGAAAUGGAACUAUCUUAAUGGUUCUGACAAUUAUUUAUCGAUCUAUUGAAUUAUGUAAUCGGUACUUCUCUCAUGAAAAUGUUCAUACUUCCAUAAUCCGUAACCAAAGAUGACACAAAUAUGCUUUGACCAGAUGUCAACGCUUAAAACGAACAGAAAUGAUCGACGCAAAAGGGUAAUUCGUAAUAAUGCAUUGUUCUUUUUUUCCGUUUAUUUGUCUUCAUUUCAUUCGGUUCAUCGAAACAAUUAAACACCACCGUUUCCGUUUAACAAUACUCUUGCAUUUUUAAAAUUUGAAUACACAUUUAAAUACUGAACAAUUACUAUGUACACCUGACGCGUCUACUUUUUCAGAGAACAUCUUUAAUACACCGAAGAUUUUCUACAUCCACUUGAACACGUUAUUUUUCUCUUUGAUUUUCUUUAAGCAAGAGUAAGGAAAAAAGGUCUAUAAAUAGAAGAAGAGAAAAAAGAGAAAUAUAACAUUGAGGAUAGAAAGAAAUGAAAGAAGAAGAGGAAAGAGAGGAGGUCGUAUUCAACUCUUGAUCCACCGAUUACUAGUUAUUUUACUCUGUUUAAAAUCGACAAUCCCAGCAAUAUGCAUAUAAGCUCAGUCCCUACUAACACAAGUCGAUGACAGAGAUGGUAAACGCGCGAGAAGCCACAUAUUUCUACUUUGUUCUUGUUUCUUUUUUCAUUUUUUAGCCAAGUGUUGUAGUUGUAUUCCUGGCUGAUUAUCGCAUUACUUUAUUAUCUAUCACUACUGCUUAUUAUUACUAUCGUUAUCCACGUUAUCGACAAGAAAUCCGCUUACAGUGAUAGGGACCUAAGUUUAGUUUUAAAUCUUGAGAAGAGGUGAACGUGAAACUCACUAAUCUCAAAUUAUCUUCUUCUUUGGUUUCUUUUUAAAAUUUACCUUUGAAAUUAACCUUUCUAUUUUUUUUUUUAGCGCUAAAUAUAUAUAUUCCAUGUAUUAUAUUUAUUUCUCAUUUAAAUGUAAGUUAAUAAAAAUACAAUAUACAUAUGAAAAUGCAAAGUAUACGUUAAGGGAUGCACUUACCGGCUCGUGAAGAAGCUCGUGAUUCACUAAGGAAAAGCAGAAAAAAUAUGUUAGCAAAAAAGGUUGCUGAGUUCUUUAUAAAAUUGUAGAAACAUCUCUAGUAAUAUUGAACACAUUAUCUUUUGUUACAUUAAAUGAGAUAAUAUGGUAUUUCGCUGCAUAUCAAUUUCUCAUUUCUCUUUGGAGCACAAUCAAACAAAAUUUAUAAAAUGAUCUUUAAAAAGAAGAUAUUGGUAUCGAAAUAUAUUUUACGGGACUAAAAAAAAAUGAUGUUCAAAUAUUUCUUUAAUUGAAGUUGAUAAAAAAAAAAUAAUGUAUAUAAUAAAAAAUAUAUGAAUGUUUAAAAUAUAGAAUGAGGAAUCAUAAGUUAUGAACAGAGGUAAAAGCUCUAUUCGCAUUCAAUUGUAAAGACAAAACCAAAGGAAUGCACAUUUUUUAAUAUAUUUUACAAAACGUUCUAUUCGUACAGCAUAUAAAACAAUACUCUGUAUUUAUUUUAUAUUCACACAUUAGCUCUAUACGACUGUACCACCUUUCGUUAUAUGUAGAAUAUAACUUUAUACAGUAUUCGGCGCGAUUUUCAAAUGUCAGUACUAUGAAAGUGCGGUAUCCUUUUGUCGUGUGGUUC
Molecule: long non-coding RNA, 2438 nt
Organism: Bombus terrestris (buff-tailed bumblebee)
Lineage: Eukaryota; Metazoa; Arthropoda; Insecta; Hymenoptera; Apidae
Exons: 3
Source: RefSeq, a predicted model, not a curated record